This 499-nucleotide ribosomal RNA is filed under the name uncultured bacterium. RNAcentral's name for it is "partial 16S ribosomal RNA". It matches the Rfam family "Bacterial small subunit ribosomal RNA", at positions 28 to 507 of the family's 1533-position model. The record is from RNAcentral.
GACGAACGCUGGCGGCGUGCUUAACACAUGCAAGUCGAACGGGCCCGCCCCUGUUUUUGGGGGUGGGUUGAGUGGCGAACGGGUGAGUAUCCCGUGAGUAACCUGCCCCCUGCUCCUGGAUAACUGCUUGAAAGGGCGGCUAAUACGGGGUGUGCCGGCUGGUCCGCAUGGGCCUGGUCGGGAUAGUUUCAUCUUCGGGUGUUUCGGCGGGGGAUGGGCUCGCGGCCUAUCAGCUUGUUGGUGGGGUAGUUGCCCACCAAGGCGGUGACGGGUAGCCGGCCUGAGGGGGUGCGGGGCCGAACUGGGGACGGGACACGGCGCGGACGCGUGCGGGAGGCAGCAGUGGGGGGUGUUGCACGGUGGGAGGAAGCCUGAUGCGGCGGCGUCGCGUGGGGGAUGGAGGGCUUCGGGUAGGGAGCCUCUUUCUCCGGUGGUGAAGGCCCUGUCCGAUGAGGCGGGGUUGACGGUAGCCGGGAAUGAAGCGCCGGCUAACUACGUG